ACAACGUAUAUUUAUCUAUUGUCAUCAUAUUGCUAUUACAACUAACCUAACACUAUAUAAAUGAUCAAAUAAUUACCGUUGUUUUUCUCACUGUUAAGACUGACAGAAUUUAAGCGAAGCAACAUUUUUAAGAAAGGUACGAAAAGGAGAUACGAAAGACGUAGCAACAAAAAGUAAAAGUGCGAUCAUGAGGAAUGACGCGGAGCGAAAGCGUGCGUGCACGAGCAAUCUUUAUUCAAAAAGAAACGCGCCAGCACACCUGUAGCGAUGGCUGAAGAGUGAGGGCUGUACCGCAAAAGUAAAAGUGAAAAUGGUAAUGUUGCGAGAGGAGGGAGAAGAAGGAACGCACGUGCACGAGUGAGAAUGAAAGAGGACGAGUGCUACAGUGUCAUGUUUCGACAUCUUUGGGGUAUUACCGUGUUCGCAAUGUGCUUCGUCAUUUUUCGUUUAGUCUUCGUUUUCGUCUGAAGGUAGUCAUUGUCAUCAGUUGGUCCAAGAUGCAUCACAAAAAUAGGGUCGAAUUAUUCAUACCCAUUGACUGGUAUUUGUAUUAGUCGUUAUUUUUGUUGAAUUUAUUUCUCUACAUUCAAGGUUAGAUCUAGUUAAAAAUGAUAUUAGAGUUAUCAAUUUUAUUUCAGCGUUAUUCUUUCUAUGAUUUCUUGUUUAAUUCAUUUCUAACCUGUUGACUAUGCUUCCCUUUAAUUAAGAACUUAUAUAGUAAAAAUUUUGAUUUCAUUAAUGUAGGUAAAUUAUUUAAAACGGAUGGAAGACUCUUAAAUAAGAAUAUUUUUCAUUAGAAAUAUUAGCAAUUCGAAUGAUGUGUCAACUCGUUUUCCUCAGUUUAUAGGUUAACAUUUCAUUGAAUAUUUAUACCAUUCUUAAUGCCAAAUAAGAGUAGUACACUAGUACAAAUAAGAUCUACAAUAUAAUUUAGAUUUGAAUAUUUUACGAAUUCUAUGAAUAUUCUUAUGAAUCUAUCAGUAGAAGAUUCAUAUUUUUUCUGACAUUCGUGCAGAAUCUUUGUUCGUAUCGAUAAUUUAAAUGGCCAUUCUUAUAUAACUUUAGUCAGGUAAUUUCGAUUCUUAUGUAACGGGCGUAACAAUGUAGCAGACUUUAUCGAGCCGAUUAUGGACUUGGUAAUGCCCGAAAUGUUGAUAGAAGUGGAUAAUACAUUCUUAAAUACAGAAAUUACGAAAUA
Molecule: long non-coding RNA, 1198 nt
Organism: Bombus huntii
Lineage: Eukaryota; Metazoa; Arthropoda; Insecta; Hymenoptera; Apidae
Exons: 2
Source: RefSeq, a predicted model, not a curated record